GAUGAACGCUAGCGGGAGGCCUAACACAUGCAAGCCGAGCGGUAGAGAUUCUUCGGAAUCUUGAGAGCGGCGUACGGGUGCGGAACACGUGUGCAACCUGCCUUUAUCAGGGGGAUAGCCUUUCGAAAGGAAGAUUAAUACCCCAUAAUAUAUUUGAUGGCAUCAUUAGAUAUUGAAAGCUUUUGCGGAUAGAGAUGGGCACGCGCAAGAUUAGAUAGUUGGUGAGGUAACGGCUCACCAAGUCGAUGAUCUUUAGGGGGCCUGAGAGGGUGAUCCCCCACACUGGGACUGAGACACGGACCAGACUCCUACGGGAGGCAGCAGUGAGGAAUAUUGGACAAGGGGUUAGCGCCUGAUCCAGCCAUCCCGCGUGAAGGACGACGGCCCUAUGGGUGGUAAACUUCUUUUGGACAGGGAUAAACCUACUCUCGGGAGAGUAGCUGAAGGUACUGUACGAAUAAGCACCGGCUAACUCCGUG
This 479-nucleotide ribosomal RNA is filed under the name uncultured bacterium. Its description in RNAcentral is "partial 16S ribosomal RNA". It matches the Rfam family "Bacterial small subunit ribosomal RNA", at positions 28 to 507 of the family's 1533-position model. The record is from RNAcentral.